CCAAGGAGUCUAACAUGUGCGCGAGUCAUUGGGCUUUGUCGAAACCCAUAGGCGCAGCGAAAGCGAAGGAGCUCCUCGUUGGGCUUCGAGGUGCGAUCCCCGGUUCGUGAAAGCGGCUGGGGCGCAGCAUCGGCCCGCCUCGUUCCGCUUGCGGUGAGGCGGCGCAAGAGCGUACACGUUGGGACCCGAAAGAUGGUGAACUAUGCCUGAGCAGGACGAAGCCAGAGGAAACUCUGGUGGAAGUCCGUAGCGAUUCUGACGUGCAAAUCGAUCGUCAAACUUGGGUAUAGGGGCGAAAGACUAAUCGAACCAUCUA
Molecule: ribosomal RNA, 316 nt
Filed under: Limnognathia maerski
Lineage: Eukaryota; Metazoa; Micrognathozoa; Limnognathida; Limnognathidae
Description: eukaryotic LSU rRNA
Rfam family: Eukaryotic large subunit ribosomal RNA
Source: RNAcentral